This 73-nucleotide transfer RNA is filed under the name Mesocricetus auratus (golden hamster). It matches the Rfam family "tRNA". Rfam says of the family: Transfer RNA (tRNA) molecules are approximately 80 nucleotides in length. Lineage: Eukaryota; Metazoa; Chordata; Mammalia; Rodentia; Cricetidae. The record is from Rfam by way of RNAcentral.
GGAGAGGUGGCUCAACGGUUAAGAGCUCUGGCUGCUCCUCCAGAGGACCUGGGUUUGGUUCCCAGUUCCCUCA